This is a ribosomal RNA of Aotus nancymaae (Ma's night monkey), 121 nucleotides long. NCBI's taxonomy places the organism in Eukaryota, Metazoa, Chordata, Mammalia, Primates, Aotidae. The record is from Ensembl.
GUCCAUGGCCAUACCACCCUGAACGCACCCUGAAGCUAAGCAGGGUCGGGCCUGAUUAGUACUUAGAUGGGAGAAAAAUGAUAUUUGCAGGAAAAUUAGUGAAUAUCAGAUGACGUCUAAA